UUGUAAGAAAUAAGCCAUCAUUUAAGCCAUCAUAAAAAUGAAUUCAUACAUCUAUUUAAUAAUCUAGGUUAGAAUAUAACAUCACUGACCAAGAGACAGAUGAAUAAGACCUGUUUGGGCAGAGAGUUGUCAAAAACACUGAUAACAACUGGAGUCUCUUAGAUCAAAAGGGUUGUUUAGUAUAAACAACAGAUUCUGGGGAAAUAGCCAGAAGCAUCAGAGUAACCAGGUUAAACAGUUUGCCCUGAGGCAAUGGAGAUGUGACGUAACUAUGAUAUCAUCAUAAUGUGUAAACGAAGGCUGACUAUAUAUUAUGCAAAGAGCUGGUCAUAAAAUAUGGUAUGAGAUCGAGCGAUUAUGGAUCAAAAGCCUUCCUUUGCAUAUUGUGCGGGAAACAUUUGUUACUAAAACAAGAAACUUGGAUCCACUCGGGGUUCUGUUUCACCUGUUUAACCAGAUGUUUUAUGGGGGAUGAGGCUCUAAACAGUAUAAAAAGUGAGACCAAAAUGCAGUCUGGAGUUCUGUUUUGGGGAACAGGCCUCUGUGUACAGGGUCUACCUCUAAACAGGAACUCUGCAGGCCGAGAGACUGAAUUACUGUCCCAGGAUUGCGGACUACUGAACAUAUUCUUCAAAUGAAGCAAAGGACAAGACAAGCAAAGGAGGCAAUUCCAGAACUUGUUGACACCACGUGGUGGGAUCAAGUAUAUAAUGCCUCUCAACAUCCAUUUUUCCACAUAACUUUCAAAAUAUUGAUUCUCAUUCAGACUUUGAUCCUAGUUUUUGGACUACUCUUGUUUUGGAGAAUGAGAACCACUCUCAGGACGGUUGAAAAUAUUGUGUAUCAACGGUUAUAAUAUAGAGGGCUCUCUCUAUGGAUUUGUUCGCCCUCUAGGGGGGGAUUUGUAAGAAAUAAGCCAUCAUUUAAGCCAUCAUAAAAAUGAAUUCAUACAUCUAUUUAAUAAUCUAGGUUAGAAUAUAACAUCACUGACCAAGAGACAGAUGAAUAAGACCUGUUUGGGCAGAGAGUUGUCAAAAACACUGAUAACAACUGGAGUCUCUUAGAUCAAAAGGGUUGUUUAGUAUAAACAACAGAUUCUGGGGAAAUAGCCAGAAGCAUCAGAGUAACCAGGUUAAACAGUUUGCCCUGAGGCAAUGGAGAUGUGACGUAACUAUGAUAUCAUCAUAAUGUGUAAACGAAGGCUGACUAUAUAUUAUGCAAAGAGCUGGUCAUAAAAUAUGGUAUGAGAUCGAGCGAUUAUGGAUCAAAAGCCUUCCUUUGCAUAUUGUGCGGGAAACAUUUGUUACUAAAACAAGAAACUUGGAUCCACUCGGGGUUCUGUUUCACCUGUUUAACCAGAUGUUUUAUGGGGGAUGAGGCUCUAAACAGUAUAAAAAGUGAGACCAAAAUGCAGUCUGGAGUUCUGUUUUGGGGAACAGGCCUCUGUGUACAGGGUCUACCUCUAAACAGGAACUCUGCAGGCCGAGAGACUGAAUUACUGUCCCAGGAUUGGUAAAUAUUCUUCUGUCUUUUUGUCUCUGAUGGGUUUAGUAUUUUGUACUUAGUAUUGUGUUUAUUUAUUAGGUUUUUGCUGUUUGUGGUAUUUGGUUAUAGUCUUUGACAGAUAGUAUUUGUUGGUUGAAGACUGUAAGUUAGUUUGCCUUUGUUAGUGAUUAUAAUUUAGGGUUGUGUUGUUGGUUGUUUGGGGUAUUUACGAUUUACAAUUUGUGAGUAUUAUUUUGGUAUAGAAUUGUUUUUAUGCUUUUUCCCUUUUGUAAGGGUGUGUAAUAUUUUUCAUUCUUUUCAUUGUCUGUAUUAGUGUGUUUUUGAUUUGUGCAUAAAUUAUAUUUCAAUGAG
Xenopus tropicalis (tropical clawed frog) is the source of this 1857-nucleotide long non-coding RNA. RefSeq lists it as uncharacterized. The transcript is spliced from 2 exons. The record is from RefSeq and is a predicted model, not a curated record. NCBI's taxonomy places the organism in Eukaryota, Metazoa, Chordata, Amphibia, Anura, Pipidae.